UUCUGGUUACCCAUCAGAAAGAGGAUCAUCUAUUUCUGAGCCUCAGUUGACUGUGGGUAACCGGAAUUGUGGAAAGUAUAACUGAGGAUAAUAAGGGACUAUUGUACCUGAGGAAGAGAUUGGAAUUCAAUUCAGAAAAUUGAGAGAUGGGCUCUGAUUGGUUCAUUCUGAGCCGUAAAUCCUGUGAGUAAGAUACUGUGAUUAAUAUGGGAGGAACUGGGGUGAGGUGCUAAGAGCGAAGGGAGAAAAAAACUUGCAGAAAUUGAUUUCCUGAGGUUCUCUGAAGGUACCAUCUUUUUCUACACCAUCAGGUGGAACUGCAUUUUUAACAGGAACCAAUCUCUGUGCAUGCUUUGAUCUUCUAAACAGGAAAGACAAUUUGAGGGCUGAAUAUUUAUCUAACGAGUUCAGUGGAGCCAAUGAAGAUAAUUCAGGACUCUAUGAAGCCUAGGUGACAGUGUGACCAAAAGUAUGGAAGACGACCACCCCAUGUUUCGAUAGAGUUGCCAUCCACACUUGGAGAGUUUUCUGGUUUAGAAAUGCUACGGCCCUGAUGGCGGCAUCCUCUCCAGGACUGGGGUCAAGGGUGAAAGGGAGCUGCUGCCCUCCAGCGGCUUUCCCAGUAAUUACACCAGUGACUGUGUCCAAGCUCCUAGGGAGGCUUCCUGAGGAUUUCCAGAGAACCUCAAGCAAGGCAGAAGAGGAAGAGGGAGGAUUUGCCCAGAGCAAGAGGCAGGAGAAUUUCAGAUAUUACUAUUGAUGUGACCCUAACAGUAUUCUCAGCUUGGUGAAACCUGGAGAAAUAUGGACCACAUGAGUUGUAGGUUUUCAGUGAGAACAUGUUUUAUAACCAGAGAAGGUAUACGUUUAAGACAGAGAAUAAGAAUUUAAACAUUUAUGUUAGACUGAGAAAGGACCAUGCAACUGAGAAAUGCAGACUUAUUAAAGACGAAGGGGUUAAACAUUUUGAUAUCAAGAAUUACAUAAAAGGUUGAAAUUUUACUAAAGGUGGGAAGGAUAUUGAGAACCUGGAACCCUAGUGCAUCGCUGGCAGGAAUGUAAAAUGGCUUAGCUCCUAUGCAAAAACAGUAUGACAGUGCCUCAAAAAAUUAAACAUAGAAUUACCAUGUGAUCCAGCAAUUUCACUUAGGUAUAUACACAAAAGAAUCAAAAGCAGGGACUGGAGCAGACAUUUGCACAUCCUCAUUCGUAGCAGCAUUAUUUGUAAUAGCCAAAAAGUAGAAAUAACCCCAAUGUCCAUCCACAAAUGAGUGGAUAUGGUAUAUGCCUAUCAUGGAAUAUUAUUCAGCCUUAAAAAGGAAGGAAAUCCUGACACAUGCCACAACAUGGAUGAACGUUGAGGGCUUUAUGCUAAGCCCAAUAAGACAGACACAAAGACAAAUAUUGUAUAAUUCCAUUUAUAGGAGGGACCUAGAAUAGACAAAUUCAUAGACAGAAAGUAUGAAGUGGGUUACCAGGGAUUAGGGAGGAGUGGAGAAUGGAGAGUUAUAAUUUACUGGGUGCAGAAUUUGGUUUGGGAUGAUGAAAAAGUUCUGAAAAUAGAUAUUGGUGCUAGUUAUACAACAUGGUGAUGUAUAUACUGCUACUGAAUUAUACACUUAAAAAUGGUUAAAAUGGUAAAUUUUAUGUCAUGUAUAUUUUAUUACCAUGUAAAAUUUAUAUAAGUAAAAUGAUUUCAUGACUUUAUCUCUAAAGAAAUAUGAAACGUUCCUUUUGUGUGCUUUUUAAAAUUGUUCUUUGGACGUUAUUAGCUGAUUUUUAUUACACAAAGAAAACAUUUUUAGGAUAUUGCUAUUAUAUAUUUUAAAAUAAGGUUAUAAUUUCACGGCCUUAAGCAUAAAUUCUUUGGGUGUGUGCCAUGGCCAGAUGAAAUAAAAUUGAAAGCUAGAGGUUUCCCACCCAUCUUUUAGAGAAAUAGCAUUUUAAGGAUUUUAUACUAUGUUUUUAUUUACCAGGUAGUUCUUGGCAUAGAGGGUAAACUUAAAGAUACUGUAAGUGAGCUACUCCCAACUAAAUUAAUAGUUUGGCUUGAUUCAUGAUUACUAUAUUUUACUUUGAUUAUAAUUAGAGAAAAUAAAGUGAUUGUAAAUAGAAGUCUAUAUAAAAGCAUAUUAAAAAUUGGUUCCUGAAAUAGCCCCAAAGUGGAAAAUAAUAUAUCUUACUGCUACUGAAAUUUGUAGUUUUUUUAAACAUAGGAGAAAGGGUGUCUUAUAGCAGGAGAACCUAUGAAGUUGUCCAAAGUGUUCAAAUCAGGAGAUCUGAGUUCAGAUUUACUUGGCCAUUUGUGAGCCUAACCGUACCCAGCACAAUGCCUGGAACAUAGUAGGUGGGCAGUAAAUAUGUAAUGAAUAAGUGGAUGGCAAGUGAAUGUCACUUCCUCUCUCUGAACUUCAAUUUUCUCAUUGGAAUAAGGAGGGAUAUGGACAAGGUGAGUCAGUCUCAACUCCAGUUGCACAUUAAAAUCACGUGUAGAGCUUUUAAAACUGCUGAUACUGGCAGCCCUAAAGAGGAAUGAAUUCUGACACAUGCUACAACACGGAUGAACCUUGAAGAUGUUAUGCUAAGUGAAAGUAGCCAGUCACACACACAAAAAACCCCACUAAUAUUGUAUGAUUCCACUUGCAUGAAGUACUUAGCAUAGUCAAACACAAAGACAGAAAAUAGCAGGGAUUACCAAGAGCGGGGAGAAGGAGGGAAUGGGGACUUAUGGGCGGUUUUUUGUUGCUGUUGUUUGUUUUUAAAGAUUUUAUUUACUUAUUUGACAGAGCCAGAGAACAGAAGCAAGGAGAGCAGUGGAGGGAGAGGGAGAAGCAAGCUCCCCGCUGAGCAGGGAGCCCAAUGUGGGGCUCGAUCCCAGGAUCCUGGGAUCAUGACCUGAAAAAAAGGCAGAUGCUUAAUCAACUGAGCCACCCAGGCGCCCCAGGAGUUACGUUUUAAUAGGUACAGUUUCUGUUUGGGAAGAUGAAGAGUUUCUCGAGGUAGAUGGUGGUGAUUGCUGCAUGACACUAUGAAUGUACUUAAAGCUACCGAGCUGUACACUUAAAGAUGGUGAGCUCUGGGCAGCCCGGGUGGCUCAGCGGUUUAGCGCCGCCUUCAGCCCAGGGCGUGAUCCUGGGGACCCGGGACCGAGUCCCACGUCGGGCUCCCUGC
Long non-coding RNA from Canis lupus familiaris (dog), 3171 nucleotides. RefSeq lists it as uncharacterized. The transcript has 3 exons. The record is from RefSeq and is a predicted model, not a curated record. Lineage: Eukaryota; Metazoa; Chordata; Mammalia; Carnivora; Canidae.